AUUUUAAUGUUCACAAUAAGUUGAUUUUAAAAUUCCUUUUGUUUUCAGUAUCCUUCCUGCAACUCAAACAACAUCAAGCAAGCUUCAAUAUUCAAUGUAAACACGAGUUCAUCAGAUCAUCUUCAAUGGAAUUCCACCAUCAAAGGAGAUCUUUAUAAAGGGGGUGUGUUUCUUGGGUGCAUGUUCGGGCCUGCAGCUUUGUAUAUUUGGGGUAUAGGAAUCUUAGCAGCUGGUCAGAGCUCAACAAUGACGGGAACUUACUCUGGUCAAUUUGCCAUGGAGGUAUGAAUCUCAUUUUUUUUUUUUUAAUUGAUAGUUAUUUAGUUCUUACAUGCUUUGUGCUGUGUUGAAAGAAAAAAAGCGUACCAAGAAAACCACUUGUGUGCACGUCAGCGCGUCUCUGAUUGGUUAUUGUUACUUUUGUAUUUGAUUGGCUCUGCCAUUCUGAGUUGAAAAAUGGCCCAGUCUCUGUAGU
Orbicella faveolata is the source of this 475-nucleotide long non-coding RNA. NCBI's taxonomy places the organism in Eukaryota, Metazoa, Cnidaria, Anthozoa, Scleractinia, Merulinidae. The record is from RefSeq and is a predicted model, not a curated record.